AUCUGCAUUUAUUCAGUGUAAAAUUCAAAUAAAAUAAAAUAUUCUGCAAAUGCAGUGACUUUUUUUGGGUUUUGCUUUAAGGGUUAUUUAGGAUUUCAGGUUGGAUGUAAGAAUUGACUUUGGAACAUGCGGCACUGCCUGUUGUACAAUUAGGUGAAAAUAGAUGUUUUAAAGUACAUGCUCUUAAGUACUGAAGUACCAAAGCUCAUUCAGUGAUAAAUAAAACUCAUUGCCAUCGCAACAGAAAGGGUUCAGGAAUAUUGAUGUGCUCUGCACUUUCAUGUUCUUUUUUUUUGCCAUAUUGUUUCUUCAUUAAAAAAUUGAUUUCUUUUGACUUACUGUUUUUUUCAACCUUGCUGGCCAUGGCCUACCUUUAAUAGUUUAACAAAAUGAAAAUAAAGCUUUUGCUUUGUUUUUUCCUCCUGCAGCUUUUCUCUAAAAACUAGAUGUCUGACUAAGGAACCACACAAUUCAAAAGAAUCCCAUGAAAUAUAAAAAAAACAAAACCAAAUUUAGAGAGACUCGAGAAGAAGCACACAGGAAAUCACACCUAAACAAAUGACAAGACAAUAUUAAUAACAAACCUGGGGUUUUUACAGAUUAACAGAUAACUAGUAACAUAAAAACAUAAGAAAUAACAUCGGGACAUAAGAUACAUGGGGCUUGGGAGCAGAGUGCCGUCUCUCUGGAACUCUCUGAGAGGCUCAGGAACAAAGAAACAUCUUUGUCCAGGCUCGGGAGCAGAGAAACUUCCAUAUCUGGGCUCGGGCUUUGGGGAAACAUUCACUGUAGGGCUCCGGAGCAGAGCGACUUCAUUGUCGGGGCUCAGAAUCAGAGAAACAUCUGCUGCAGUGCUCGGGUGAUGCAAAACAUCCUCCAGUGGGGCCUCAACACUGAGCGACACCCCCUGUUCUCCUUGUGUUUGCCUCCAAAAGUCCAGGGUCUCUGCUAAUUUCCAAAGUUCUUUCAGUCAGACGUGGGGCUUCAACCCAUGUCGCUAGAGCGAGUGGCUGACACUAGCAGUCCACCAUAGGGAGGCUUUGUACAUUAAUCACAAACCAGGGGAACUCGAGAACAAUGCACACAAGAAAUCACACAACGUAACAUAUCAAACAUAAAUAAUAACACCAGGACUUAAGAUACACACAAGAAGAUACACAAAAGACUAACACUAACGUGUAUCGGGGAACAACAGGAGACUCGAAAUACAAAUCAGGAAUAAAUCACAACACGAGGACUUACACUGAGACUCGGGGGAACCAGAGUAAACUCAAAAUAUAGCUCUGGAAAAAGUGUACAACAUGACAAUAAA
Silurus meridionalis is the source of this 1312-nucleotide long non-coding RNA. RefSeq lists it as uncharacterized. The transcript has 2 exons. The record is from RefSeq and is a predicted model, not a curated record. NCBI's taxonomy places the organism in Eukaryota, Metazoa, Chordata, Actinopteri, Siluriformes, Siluridae.